CAGUACCUUUCCUUGUAACCACAUAAGUUGAACAAGAAUGUUUGCACAAAUAGGUGUUUUGGUUAUAGUAUUUCAAACUACAAAUGUUUAGCCGCAACAGGGAAUGUACUUAUCACUCUACAUGGAGGACACCACGGAAUUCGUACUCAAACAUCAAUUAACUCCAUGUCAGUAGGUGGUACUGUGGACAGUAGUAGAGGAGGAAGAAUGCUGGUGGUAUUGAGAAAAAAGUCUCUACCGGGUUCAAAUUGUGCAGGGUCUUAACUGUACUUCGGAGCGCGGUUAAAGCCUCGAUCGAACACAGCUGCCCUUGCCCGCAAGAGAAGAGAUCACUCAGAUGGUGAAUGAGACACAGAGAGAGGUGCAACGAGAAAGGGAGGGAGGAGAGAGCGAGAGAUUGAAUCAAGAGAGCUUCUACACCUUACUGGAAUUGAAGGAGGAGAACAUUUUCUUGGAGGGAAGGUGCAGAGAGUCUGGAUUGGGGGUGUAGAGUUUGCUUUUAAAAUAUUAAAAAAUUAUUUCUCUUUUUCUGUGUGUAGG
RNAcentral lists this small RNA (540 nucleotides) under Vigna angularis var. angularis. RNAcentral's name for it is "Non-protein coding transcript". Lineage: Eukaryota; Viridiplantae; Streptophyta; Magnoliopsida; Fabales; Fabaceae. The record is from RNAcentral.